This is a long non-coding RNA of Esox lucius (northern pike), 1077 nucleotides long. RefSeq lists it as uncharacterized. The record is from RefSeq and is a predicted model, not a curated record. Lineage: Eukaryota; Metazoa; Chordata; Actinopteri; Esociformes; Esocidae. The transcript is spliced from 4 exons.
AUAAAUCAUGUAUAAAAGGGUGAGAGUUGUUGGAGAGAAGAUACUCAACACCUGUUGCUCAACAUAAAAUAUAGCUUCUACUAUUCUACAUCUUUGAGAAUCAUGAGGUCCUUGGCUCUAGCUGUGCUCCUGGGUACACUGUUGCCACUCAUCCACGCAAGUUGCUGGUAUAAAAAAGCUGAAACAGACAUAAAACAGUGUCUUUAUGACAAAGAGGGUGCAUGGUAUCCUAUUGGUUCCCGCUGGAGGACUAAAGACUGUAUGGACUGCAGUUGUCAUGACAACGGGGUGAUGUCAUGCUGUUCUGCGUACUCUACCCCGACAAGAAUUCCUGAUGAUUGCAGGAUGCAGUUUAACCAAAAGGCAUGUGAAUACGAAGUUUUUAAGAAGGACGAUCGCUCCGUGUCCUGCCCUGUCUUGGGCGCUGUGGUGUAGUAAUGUGUGAGGACCGUUAAUUGUUCGCUUAGCUCAGCCAUACUGUCUGGAAGUAUUUUGUAACCGUGACCUUAGAGAAAAACCACGUGAAUAUAACACGAUCACAUGGGAUCUUACGUGAAGUUAAGGCAAUAACGUGAGGUAAUGUAAUGCGAUGUGAAAACAUGAAACUGCACAUAGUGUUCUCUGAAAUGUCUUGUUAAACCUAGUGAUUUUUCGCUUGUGAAAUCCUGUGUUUUUUAAGGUGAUUAUUUUAAAACAAUACUGUAAUAUGUUCAUGGUUAAAGCUCUAUUAUGUAAUAUGUGUGGACUGUGUCAUGUUCAGCAGUUGGGUUCAAAUACUUUGACUGUUUCAUCUACCCUGCCUGGUGUCCCAGAUGUAUGGGAUAUGCAGUUUUAGGACAAUUCUAAGCAAGCUCGGAUAAAGUAUUUGAAACUAUAAUUUUUAUCCGGGUCGGUUACAGACCAAAAAGGAGCAUGACCUGCACACAGUACAUUAACAUAGCAUUGCUAAGUAACCAUGAAUAAUAAUAAUGUUUGUGGAUAGCAUUUACCAGGCAGACAUUAAAAUACUGAACUACAAUGCAAUUGCUUUAAAUGCAUAUUUUCAUUUUAUGUCAAUAAAUCAAUAUAAUCAAGAUA